RNAcentral lists this transfer RNA (69 nucleotides) under Bos taurus (domestic cattle). It matches the Rfam family "tRNA". From Rfam's summary of the family: Transfer RNA (tRNA) molecules are approximately 80 nucleotides in length. The record is from Rfam by way of RNAcentral. Lineage: Eukaryota; Metazoa; Chordata; Mammalia; Artiodactyla; Bovidae. RNAcentral also lists the same sequence under 5 other names.
CCUGAUAGCUUAGUUGGUAAAGAGUCUGCCUGCAAUGCAGGAGACCCUGGUUCAAUCCCUGGGUCAGGA